Molecule: ribosomal RNA, 798 nt
Filed under: uncultured Proteiniphilum sp.
Lineage: Bacteria; Pseudomonadati; Bacteroidota; Bacteroidia; Bacteroidales; Dysgonomonadaceae
Description: bacterial SSU rRNA
Rfam family: Bacterial small subunit ribosomal RNA
Source: RNAcentral
AGAGUUUGAUUAUGGCUCAGGAUGAACGCUAGCGAUAGGCCUAACACAUGCAAGUCGAGGGGCAGCACAUGAAGUAGCAAUACGGAUGGUGGCGACCGGCGCACGGGUGAGUAACGCGUAUGCAACCUGCCUACAACAGGGGAAUAACCCGUUGAAAGACGGACUAAUACCCCAUAACACAGGGAUCCCGCAUGGGAAUAUUUGUUAAAGAUUUAUCGGUUGUAGAUGGGCAUGCGUUCCAUUAGCUGGUUGGUGAGGUAACGGCUCACCAAGGCAACGAUGGAUAGGGGAACUGAGAGGUUUAUCCCCCACACUGGUACUGAGACACGGACCAGACUCCUACGGGAGGCAGCAGUGAGGAAUAUUGGUCAAUGGACGCAAGUCUGAACCAGCCACGUCGCGUGAAGGAAGACGGCCCUACGGGUUGUAAACUUCUUUUGUAAGGGAAUAAAGUGCAGUACGUGUACUGUUUUGCAUGUACCUUACGAAUAAGGAUCGGCUAACUCCGUGCCAGCAGCCGCGGUAAUACGGAGGAUCCGAGCGUUAUCCGGAUUUAUUGGGUUUAAAGGGUGCGCAGGCGGGAGAUUAAGUCGGCGGUGAAAUUUUGCAGCUCAACUGUAAAAGUGCCUUCGAAACUGGUUUUCUUGAGUGUGGAUGAAGUAGGCGGAAUUUGUGGUGUAGCGGUGAAAUGCAUAGAUAUCACGAGGAACUCCGAUUGCGCAGGCAGCUUACUAAAACAUAACUGACGCUCAGGCACGAAGGCGUGGGGAUCAAACAGGAUUAGAUACCCUGGUAGUC